CUCAGGAUGAACGCUAGCUACAGGCUUAACACAUGCAAGGUCAGGGGCAGCAGGGAUCUAGCUUGCUAGAUUCGCUGGCGACCGGCGCACGGGUGAGUAACGCGUAUCCAACUUCCCCUUAGUAGAGGAUAGCCCGGUGAAAAUCGGAUUAAUACUCUAUGUGUUCAAGGCAGACAUCUAAUUUGAACCAAGAUUUAUCGCUAAGGGAUGGGGAUGCGUCUGAUUAGGUAGUCGGCGGGGUAACGGCCCACCGAGCCAUCGAUCAGUAGGGGUUCUGAGAGGAGGGUCCCCCACAUUGGAACUGAGACACGGUCCAAACUCCUACGGGAGGCAGCAGUGAGGAAUAUUGGUCAAUGGGCGAGAGCCUGAACCAGCCAAGUAGCGUGCAGGAAGACGGCCCUAUGGGUUGUAAACUGCUUUUAUAUAGGGAUAAAGUGCAUCACGUGUGGUGUUUUGUAGGUACUAUAUGAAUAAGGACCGGCUAAUUCCGUGCCAGCCGCCGC
RNAcentral lists this ribosomal RNA (503 nucleotides) under uncultured bacterium. Its description in RNAcentral is "bacterial SSU rRNA". It matches the Rfam family "Bacterial small subunit ribosomal RNA", at positions 23 to 518 of the family's 1533-position model. The record is from RNAcentral.